This is a long non-coding RNA of Corapipo altera (White-ruffed manakin), 326 nucleotides long. RefSeq lists it as uncharacterized. The record is from RefSeq and is a predicted model, not a curated record. NCBI's taxonomy places the organism in Eukaryota, Metazoa, Chordata, Aves, Passeriformes, Pipridae. The transcript has 3 exons.
UGGCGGUGCGGGGCGCGGGUGCCCGUGGGGCGGUGCGGGGCAGCCUCGGGCUCUGUGUGUCCGUGUGCGAAGAGAUGUGUUUUGUAAUUAUUUCCCCGUUGCUCCUUCGGCGUCCCGGCGCGUUCCUGGUCCUAAGGAGGGAACGAGGAAAUGAGGUUUAAGAAGCAUCUUCACGCCAAAAGCAGGUCUCGGCUGCACCGCUGUAAGAGCAGAAGUGAUUUCCCUGGAAUAUCGGGUUUGCUAGCUGAGGCCCCAGCAGGUACCUAUAGGAAGUACUGGAAGAAGAACAUGUGUAUUCACCACACCCUGGAUCUGCCCAAGCACAU